Molecule: ribosomal RNA, 301 nt
Filed under: uncultured bacterium
Lineage: Bacteria
Description: partial 16S ribosomal RNA
Rfam family: Bacterial small subunit ribosomal RNA
Source: RNAcentral
CAGUCGCCGCGGUAAAACGAAGGGUGCAAGCGUUAAUCGGAAUUACUGGGCGUAAAGCGUGCGUAGGUGGUGGUUUAAGUCCGUUGUGAAAGCCCUGGGCUCAACCUGGGAAUUGCAGUGGAUACUGGGUCACUAGAGUGUGGUAGAGGAUAGUGGAAUUUCCGGUGUAGCAGUGAAAUGCGUAGAGAUCGGAAGGAACAUCUGUGGCGAAGGCGACUAUCUGGGCCAACACUGACACUGAGGCACGAAAGCGUGGGGAGCAAACAGGAUUAGAUACCCCUGUAGUCCCUGUCUCUUAUAC